CCUACGGGUGGCAGCAGUGGGGAAUAUUGGGCAAUGGGCGCAAGCCUGACCCAGCAACGCCGCGUGAAGGAAGAAGGCUUUCGGGUUGUAAACUUCUUUUGACAGGGAAGAGUAGAAGACGGUACCUGUCGAAUAAGCCACGUCUAACUACGUGCCAGCAGCCGCGGUUAUACGUAGGUUGCACGCGUUGUCCGGAUUUACUGGGUGUAAAGGGCGUGUAGCCGGGUUGACAAGUCAGAUGUGAAAUCCUGCGGCUUAACCGCAGAACUGCAUUUGACACUGUUGAUCGUGAGUACUGGAGAGGAAGAUGGAAUUCAUGGUGUAGCGGUGAAAUGCGGAGAUAGUAGGAGGAACACCGGUGGCGAAGGCGGGCUGCUGGAAAGCAACGGACGGUGAGGCGCGAAAGCGUGGGGAGCAAACAGGAUUAGAUACCCCUGUAGUC
RNAcentral lists this ribosomal RNA (442 nucleotides) under uncultured bacterium. Its description in RNAcentral is "partial 16S ribosomal RNA". It matches the Rfam family "Bacterial small subunit ribosomal RNA", at positions 338 to 795 of the family's 1533-position model. The record is from RNAcentral.